CAUUAUAAGCUCAACAUCUGUCCAUGCUAAGUAUCAAAAAAAUCAGAUUUUUGAAUUUUGGAGUAUCUUGGAAACAGAAGUUAAAUCUGAUUUCAGCUGACAAAACUGUUUUCUGGCUAUGCAAACUUAUCUCUGGGCAAACUAACCAUGGAAAUACAAGAAUUUACUCGAUUCUUGGCAGAACAUGAAGCCUCGGUCUACCUCAUUAUACCUUCCAGUGGCUGCAGCUGUUUUUUUGCGCCUGUUCACUUUCUACAAGAGUUUCAAGUUGUGGACAGUCUUUCCGUAAGUUUUAAUUAAUAAUGAAGGGGUUUUGUUUUGGCAGAGUCAAUAGCAUAUUUUGAAUAUAUAUAUGCUUGCAAAAUACUAAUUUCAUUUAAAAAUAAUACUUUCUAUUCUUCCUAAGAUUUCCUAAAAUAUUCCUUCUAUAAAGGAGGGUAAAUAUUGAAAAAAGACUUGCACACAAAGACGUUUAGUAAUGUGAAAACAACAAAACAAGACAAAAUGUUGCAAAGUUGGCAAUAGAUUAAUCCACAGUAAAGGCAAUACAAAGAAUAAAAGGAAUAAAAUUGGAAGUGCUUAACUGAGU
RNAcentral lists this long non-coding RNA (589 nucleotides) under Anser cygnoides (Swan goose). RNAcentral describes it as "lncRNA (ENSACDG00005015627.1)". Lineage: Eukaryota; Metazoa; Chordata; Aves; Anseriformes; Anatidae. The record is from RNAcentral.